Schizosaccharomyces pombe (fission yeast) is the source of this 3161-nucleotide non-coding RNA. The record is from the annotation of a GenBank genome assembly. NCBI's taxonomy places the organism in Eukaryota, Fungi, Ascomycota, Schizosaccharomycetes, Schizosaccharomycetales, Schizosaccharomycetaceae.
GCGCAUGUCCUUCACAGAAACCUGUAAUGUAAAAAGGUUAGUUCGUGGUCAUAAAAAGGAUUCUCUCAUAGUACAUACACGCUAUUACACGCUUUGCAACACUGGAUAUUUUUAACAUGUUGACUAAGUCCUUGCUGUCUAGUCUCAUGUGAACAAAUUCUUCGGGUGCCCUUGUUUGAGAGGGAUGUCGACUGAUGUCUUCGACUUGACUAGGAUCUAACUCUGGAUUCUCUAAUCCUUUCCAUUUUGUGCUUACUCUAGCUGAAGGUAUGUUUACCGAUAACUGCAAUUCGCCUGACAUGUUGGCUGACAUUAUAAUACGGUCUGAAAGACUCUUGUAUUUGUCCACGACGUGUCUUAGAAAAUUCAGUUGUGGAAGGAAUAUAUGACAGUCUGGUUCAGGAGCAGUUGGUUCCUUAAUAACUGACACGUAUGAUUGUGAUAGUACUCGAACAGGUAUAUUAUGAGUCACAAUAUUCGAACCAAACGCCCUUCCACUCCAAGUGGUAGACAACGAAAGUAAUGGCUGGUUAUUCUUCUUGGAUAGACGAACAGUAGAAUCACUAGCGUUGGCCGCUGAUCGUAAGGCUUUAUAGAAAUUAUCUAUAGGAACUUCUAGAUUUAUCACGUUGUCUGCAUUGCUUUGGACGACAUAGUCCUCAAAUAUUGUUUCCUUUCCGUUUACGUUAGUUAGGGCAAUCAAAUAGAAAAAGAUAGUUAAUCAUACGACUUCUAAAACUCUGUUUCUUUAUUAGUUUCACAAUGUGAUUUUUUUCACCGUUAAAUGCUUAAUAUCUUCACUUACGACCAAACUUGAGUCAUCCUAAAAUCUGGCACUAUCACAAAAUUUACAGUUUCAGGCAUCAGACGAAGCCAGCAAAAUCUUCCAAUUUUAUCUAGCGCCUGAACAAGACCUAAAUUUGAUUAGUAAACGAACUUUCUGCUGAUCUUUUCCAACUUACGCGUCAACGUGUACAAGUUGCUAAUCCUUGUUUUAAAUCUCAUUUUCAGUCUUUGAUUUAACUAAUGAGAUUGAGAUUUUUUGGCAUUUUGUUUAUUCAAGCGUUUAGCAGGUUAAAGUCGACCAAUAAUAAAUUUUCGGUCGAAAAAACUACGAACGCGUAAAAGCCAGCUAAGAAAUAGCAAACUGGGCAUUAGCAACUGCAUCGCAAUCUUUAUUAAGCAAAUGCAAAUUUUAAUGGCAAGUGGAAUAAAAUUAAUGAAUAAAAUUUAAAAAGAUUUACAAAAGUCUUAGAGUCUAAAAAAAAUUAUACUCAAGAGCCUAUUCGUUGUAUCAUUUAUUUCAUACGAUUAGCUAUUCCUAAAUUUUAAAUUACAUUAAAAAAAUAAAUGGCAAGUAAGAAGGGUUCUAGCUAGAGCAGGAACAUUGAAUUUGGCUUUUGGAGGGAGUAGUGUUAUAGCAUAAAUAAUCCUCUUCUUCCUUGGAAAACCCCCAAGUAUCUUCGAACGGACAGGCAGCCAUUUUACACACUUUUUUAAAAAGCUCAAAUUUCCCGAUGUAUGCUUCUUUAAUCACCUCUUCAAGAACCCAAUUUCUAAGAGUAAAAUGUGGGUUGACUUUUUUCAUGCUCGCUAAUCGGGAUGAAUCUUCCUGAGUUUUCGUUGCUUCACUAUAUCGACCAACCCAAUUAGUGAAAGCUUUGACAGAUUCAUUUCUAACUCUUUCAUUAUUCGGGUUUAGACAAAUACAUGCUUGCAUCAAUUUUGCAGCAUAUUCUUCAUUCUCCAUUGAAGAGGGAGAGUUUCUAGAAAGAAAGGAAAAACAAUUUGGCAUAUCCAAUUCAUAAUCCUCCAAAAUUUGUAACAAAUCAGUUAUCAGAAUUUUGUUAGAUGAGUCAGAGGGAAGACCCACUCGUUUGAACAUAAGAUCAUAGAAAUCAUUCUGGACAAUAUUUUUAUACUCUUCUACUAUCUUUUCAAAAACUUCAGAAGUAUAAGCAAACGCCUUUUUUAACAAAUCAGUAGAGUUAUGAAGUUGUUCCAUAUAUUGCAAGUCAUCAACUUUGUCGCAAGCUCCAAUUAACUCAACCAAAGCAGAUGCUAAUUUUGAUAAAUUCCAAAUAAUAAUAUCAGGUUGGUUGCGAUAUGAAUAUCGCAAAAAUACAUCGUCAUGAUUAGGUGUAAAAGAUGGGUUGUAAACAUCUAAAAAUCCAAAAGGUCCAUAAUCAAUUGAUAGUCCCAGUAUACUGGUAUUAUCAGUAUUCAAAACACCAUUCAUAAAUCCAUAUGCUUGCCAUUUGGCUACAGUUUUAGCAUUUCGAUAUGCAACAUCUCGAAGAAGUUUUUCGUAGCGAUUUCCAGUAUCUCCACCAUGAAAUCCAUCUUUUAAAACGAAAUUUAGACAAUAGUCGGCUAAUUUCCGUAAAGACUCAAUUUGAUUAUUAAUCCCCUGGAGAUCGAAAGUCCCAAUUCUGAUCCAAGAAGGGGCCAUACGGCAAACAACGGCGCAAGGCUCUACAGUCUCACGUUGUGCUACAACACCUUCAAGAUUGGAAAUUGCCAGAGCCUGUGUUGUUGGAAUGCCUAGAGCAUAUAAAGCUUCACAACAUAAAUAUUCUCGAAUGCUAGAUCUUAAAACAGCCUUUCCAUCUGCAAAUCGAGAGUAUGGUGUUCUUCCUGCGCCUUUGACUUGAAUCUCAAAGCGUUUUCCAGUUUCCGGGUUGGUAAGUUCGCAUAAGGAUACUACGCGGCCAUCACCCAACUGACCUGCCCAAUCCCCAAAUUGGUAUCCUCCAUAACAUUGCGCCCAAGGACAACACUUAUUGACAUCAACGUUAGAACCGACAACAAGCUGUUGAAAAGCUUCAGUUUGAGUUUCAGAUUCUUCGAGUCCUAAUGACUUCACGGACGAAGGGCUAUAAGCUAAUAAUUGAGAAUUGGCUUUUAGUGAUGGAGUCAAAUAAGUAAAUAAGCCGCCGCCUUCCACAAAUCGAGGAACAUGUAAGAUUCUGUCAUCAGCCUUUUUCAUUGCCUGUACGGUCGGUACCAGUGGAUCAGGCGGAAGAUUUGAUGUGAACGUUGAGCUGACAGGGAGAUCCUUCAAUUUUUUUGACAUCGUAUUGGUAUAUCGAAUUAAUGUUCUUUGCAUACCAAUGUUUGAUUGUGCCCCAGUGUAAAUUUGCUUACUUUAUUGAUUAUAA